CGUCUAGGCGGAUCGGUAAGUCGGCUGUGAAAUCCCUCGGCUCAACCGAGGACGUGCAUCCGAUACUGCCAGUCUUGAGGGCGAGAGGGGAGAGUGGAACUCCUGGUGGAGCGGUGAAAUGCGUAGAUAUCAGGAGGAACGCCGGUGGCGAAAGCGACUCUCUGGCUCGUCCCUGACGCUGAAGCGCGAAAGCUAGGGGAGCGAACG
This 207-nucleotide ribosomal RNA is filed under the name uncultured bacterium. RNAcentral describes it as "partial 16S ribosomal RNA". It matches the Rfam family "Bacterial small subunit ribosomal RNA", at positions 568 to 774 of the family's 1533-position model. The record is from RNAcentral.